GGAAGUAAAAGUCGUAACAAGGUUUCCGUAGGUGAACCUGCGGAAGGAUCAUUACCGAGUGAGGGCCCUCUGGGUCCAACCUCCCACCCGUGUUUAUUUUACCUUGUUGCUUCGGCGGGCCCGCCUUAACUGGCCGCCGGGGGGCUCACGCCCCCGGGCCCGCGCCCGCCGAAGACACCCUCGAACUCUGUCUGAAGAUUGAAGUCUGAGUGAAAAUAUAAAUUAUUUAAAACUUUCAACAACGGAUCUCUUGGUUCCGGCAUCGAUGAAGAACGCAGCGAAAUGCGAUACGUAAUGUGAAUUGCAAAUUCAGUGAAUCAUCGAGUCUUUGAACGCACAUUGCGCCCCCUGGUAUUCCGGGGGGCAUGCCUGUCCGAGCGUCAUUGCUGCCCUCAAGCCCGGCUUGUGUGUUGGGCCCCGUCCUCCGAUCUCCGGGGGACGGGCCCGAAAGGCAGCGGCGGCACCGCGUCCGGUCCUCGAGCGUAUGGGGCUUUGUCACCCGCUCUGUAGGCCCGGCCGGCGCUUGCCGAUCAACCCAAAUUUUUAUCCAGGUUGACCUCGGAUCAGGUAGGGAUACCCGCUGAACUUAAGCAUAUCAAUAAGCGGAGGA
Molecule: ribosomal RNA, 610 nt
Filed under: Penicillium camemberti
Lineage: Eukaryota; Fungi; Ascomycota; Eurotiomycetes; Eurotiales; Aspergillaceae
Also listed under: 1 other name
Description: eukaryotic LSU rRNA
Rfam family: 5.8S ribosomal RNA (bases 231-383)
Source: RNAcentral